This 253-nucleotide ribosomal RNA is filed under the name uncultured bacterium. RNAcentral's name for it is "partial 16S ribosomal RNA". It matches the Rfam family "Bacterial small subunit ribosomal RNA", at positions 524 to 776 of the family's 1533-position model. The record is from RNAcentral.
UACGUAGGGUGCAAGCGUUAAUCGGAAUUACUGGGCGUAAAGCGUGCGCAGGCGGUUGUGCAAGACAGAUGUGAAAUCCCCGGGCUCAACCUGGGAACUGCAUUUGUGACUGCACGGCUAGAGUACGGUAGAGGGGGAUGGAAUUCCGCGUGUAGCAGUGAAAUGCGUAGAUAUGCGGAGGAACACCGAUGGCGAAGGCAAUCCCCUGGACCUGUACUGACGCUCAUGCACGAAAGCGUGGGGAGCAAACAGG